This 2463-nucleotide ribosomal RNA is filed under the name Veillonella sp. RNAcentral describes it as "partial 23S ribosomal RNA". It matches the Rfam family "Bacterial large subunit ribosomal RNA", at positions 1 to 2486 of the family's 2925-position model. The record is from RNAcentral. Lineage: Bacteria; Bacillati; Bacillota; Negativicutes; Veillonellales; Veillonellaceae.
GGUCAAGCUACAAAGGGCGCAUGGUGAAUGCCUUGGCACUAGGAGCCGAAGAAGGACGCGAUAAGCUGCGAUAAGCCUUGGGUAGCCGCAAAUAGGCUGAGAUCCAGGGAUUUCCGAAUGAGGAAACUCACAUGGGUAACCCCAUGUAUCAUGCACUGAAUACAUAGGUGUAUGAGGGUAAACCCGGGGAACUGAAACAUCUAAGUACCCGGAGGAAGAGAAAGAAAAAUCGAUUUCCUAAGUAGCGGCGAGCGAACGGGAAAGAGCCCAAACCAGAAACUUGUUUCUGGGGUUGCGGAUAGAUCAUAAAAGAAGAGGUAUCUUAAUCGAAGAGGGCUGGAACGCCCUACCAUAGAAGGUAAUAGUCCUGUAGGUAAAAAGAGAAAACUUCAAGAUCUAAUCCAGAGUACCACGAGACACGUGAAACCUUGUGGGAAGCAGGGAGGACCACCUCCCAAGGCUAAAUACUACCUAGUGACCGAUAGUGAAGCAGUACCGUGAGGGAAAGGUGAAAAGAACCCCGGAAGGGGAGUGAAAUAGAACCUGAAACCGUGUGCCUACAACCGAUCGGAGCACGUUAAAGUGUGACGAUGUGCUUUUUGUAGAACGAGCCAGCGAGUUACGCUAUGUAGCAAGGUUAAGUACUUAAGGUAUGGAGCCGAAGGGAAACCGAGUCUGAAAAGGGCGAAAAGUUGCAUGGUGUAGACCCGAAACCGGGUGACCUAUCCAUGGCCAGGUUGAAGCGAGAGUAAAAUCUCGUGGAGGACCGAACCACGUUGGUGUUGAAAAACCAUGGGAUGAGCUGUGGAUAGCGGAGAAAUUCCAAUCGAACUCGGAGAUAGCUGGUUCUCCUCGAAAUAGCUUUAGGGCUAGCGUCGUGUAAUUGAGUAAUGGAGGUAGAGCACUGAAUGGGCUAGGGGCUAUAGUAGUUACCGAACCCUAUCAAACUCCGAAUGCCAUAUACUUGUAUCACGGCAGUCAGACUGCGAAUGAUAAGAUCCGUAGUCAAAAGGGAAACAGCCCAGACCAUCAGCUAAGGUCCCAAAGUGUAAGUUAAGUGGAAAAGGAUGUGGGAUUUCUAAGACAACUAGGAUGUUGGCUUAGAAGCAGCCACUCAUUUAAAGAGUGCGUAAUAGCUCACUAGUCAAGAGAUCCUGCGCCGAAGAUGUCCGGGGCUCAAACUUACCACCGAAGCUAUGGGUGUACACUAUGUGUACGCGGUAGAGGAGCUUUCUGUAUGGGUUGAAGUCGUACCGUAAGGAGCGGUGGACUGUACAGAAGUGAGAAUGCUGGCAUAAGUAGCGAGAAAUAAGUGAGAAUCUUAUUGGCCGAAAACCUAAGGUUUCCUGGGGAAGGUUCGUCCGCCCAGGGUUAGUCGGGACCUAAGCCGAGGCCGAAAGGCGUAGGUGAUGGACAAUCGGUUGAUAUUCCGAUACCGCCUAUUUACGUUUGAGAGAUGGGGUGACGCAGUAGGAUAAGAUGUGCGCACUAUUGGAUGUGCGUCUAAGCAUUUAGGCAUGCUUGAUAGGUAAAUCCGUCGAGCUAAGCUGAGGUGUAAUGGGGAGCCAUUUAUGGCGAAGUAUCUGAUUCCACACUGCCAAGAAAAGCCUCUAUCGAGUGAAUAGGUGCCCGUACCGCAAACCGACACAGGUAGGUGAGGAGAGAAUCCUAAGGCCAUCGGAAGAAUUGCUGUUAAGGAACUCGGCAAAUUGACCCCGUAACUUCGGGAGAAGGGGUGCCUACGAAAGUAGGCCGCAGAGAAUAGGCCCAAGCAACUGUUUAGCAAAAACACAGGUCUCUGCUAAAGCGAAAGCUGAUGUAUAGGGGCUGACGCCUGCCCGGUGCUGGAAGGUUAAGGGGAACACUUAGCGUAAGCGAAGGUGUGAACUUAAGCCCCAGUAAACGGCGGCCGUAACUAUAACGGUCCUAAGGUAGCGAAAUUCCUUGUCGGGUAAGUUCCGACCCGCACGAAUGGCGUAAUGAUUUGGGCACUGUCUCAACAGCAAAUCCGGCGAAAUUGUAGUGCAAGUGAAGAUGCUUGCUACCCGCGAUUGGACGGAAAGACCCCGUAGAGCUUUACUGUAGCUUAGCAUUGAAUCUCGGUAUUGUCUGUACAGGAUAGGUGGGAGACUUGGAAACUUGGGCGUCAGCCUGAGUGGAGUCAUCCUUGGGAUACCACCCUGACAGUACUGGGGUUCUAACCGGCGGCCAUGAAUCUGGUCACGGGACAUUGUUAGGUGGGCAGUUUGACUGGGGCGGUCGCCUCCUAAAAAGUAACGGAGGCGCCCAAAAGUUCCCUCAGCGCGGUCGGAAAUCGCGCGAAGAGUGCAAAGGCAGAAGGGAGCUUGACUGCGACACAUACAGGUGGAGCAGGGACGAAAGUCGGGCUUAGUGAUCCGGUGGUACCUCGUGGGAGGGCCAUCGCUCAACGGAUAAAAGCUACCUCGGGGAUAACAGGCUGAU